This 830-nucleotide ribosomal RNA is filed under the name uncultured archaeon. RNAcentral describes it as "bacterial SSU rRNA". It matches the Rfam family "Archaeal small subunit ribosomal RNA", at positions 21 to 859 of the family's 1478-position model. The record is from RNAcentral.
GGUUACUGCUAUCGAGGUUCGACUAAGCCAUGCGAGUCGAAUGUAGCAAUACAUGGCGUACUGCUCAGUAACACGUGGACAACCUACCCUUAGGCCUGGGAUAACCCCGGGAAACUGGGAAUAAUACCGGAUAUCUCGCGAAUGCUGGAAUGCGUCGCGAUAGAAAGCUCCGGCGCCUAAGGAUGGGUCUGCGGCCUAUCAGGUAGUAGUGGGUGUAACGUGCCUACUAGCCUACGACGGGUACGGGUUGUGAGAGCAAGAGCCCGGAGAUGGAUUCUGAGACACGAAUCCAGGCCCUACGGGGUGCAGCAGGCGCGAAAACUUUACAAUGCUGGAAACAGCGAUAAGGGGACCUCGAGUGCCAGGAUACAAUCCUGGCUGUCGUAAUGCCUAAAAAGCAUUGCAUACAAGGGCCGGGCAAGACCGGUGCCAGCCGCCGCGGUAACACCGGCGGCUCGAGUGGUAACCGCUAUUAUUGGGUCUAAAGGGUCUGUAGCCGGCUGACUAAGUCUCUUGGGAAAUCUGACAGCUUAACUGUCAGGCUUUCAGGAGAUACUGAUCGGCUCGAGACCGGGAGAGGUGAGAGGUACCUCAGGGGUAGGGGUGAAAUCUUGUAAUCCUUGAGGGACCACCAGUGGCGAAGGCGUCUCACCAGAACGGAUCUGACGGCAAGGGACGAAAGCUAGGGGCACGAACCGGAUUAGAUACCCGGGUAGUCCUAGCCGUAAACGAUACUCGCUAGGUGUCGGCCACGGUGCGACCGUGGUCGGUGCCGUAGGGAAGCCGUGAAGCGAGCCACCUGGGAAGUACGCCGCAAGGCUGAAACUUAA